UGAGGCUGAGACUGAGACUGCGGCUGAGGCUGAAGCCAAUGGCAGCAAUGCAGCAUCAACAGCUGCCCCGAUCAGAUGCUGUCCAGGGUUAACGCUAACACAUUGAUUACGAACUGGCUCUGUUGCAUUCAACUCAAUUAUGAAACCGAGGAGUAAUUUCGUGCGGUAACACAUUACUGAACAUGGUUAGACGCAAUUGAAGAAUCCGCGUAUCCAUCGGAUACACAUAACAGCGACUGCAAUUGUGACCUUUGACCAGGGUGACGCUGGCCUUGAACCUUUCGCAUUGCCAUCAGAUUAUCAAUUCAAGGCUGUGACUUUAAUAUCUCGCCAAAAGCAACAACAACAGCUUGUACAUGUAUGUAGUUAAGAGAGACGAGACGAGACGAGACGAGGCGAGACGCAACGCAACGCGACGGGGCGGUUAGGAAUGUUAUAAACGCAAGGAGGCGAACGCAAAUAAUUCUCCCAUAGACGAUCCAACGAUCCGACGAUCCA
Long non-coding RNA from Drosophila grimshawi, 498 nucleotides. RefSeq lists it as uncharacterized. The transcript has 3 exons. The record is from RefSeq and is a predicted model, not a curated record. Lineage: Eukaryota; Metazoa; Arthropoda; Insecta; Diptera; Drosophilidae.